GGUUAAGCGACUAAGCGUACACGGUGGAUGCCCUGGCAGUCAGAGGCGAUGAAGGACGUGCUAAUCUGCGAAAAGCGUCGGUAAGGUGAUAUGAACCGUUACAGCCGGCGAUGUCCGAAUGGGGAAACCCAGUGCAAUUCGUUGCACUAUCGUUAACUGAAUACAUAGGUUAACGAGGCGAACCGGGGGAACUGAAACAUCUAAGUACCCCGAGGAAAAGAAAUCAACCGAGAUUCCCCCAGUAGCGGCGAGCGAACGGGGAGCAGCCCAGAGUCUGAAUCAGCUUGUGUGUUAGUGGAACGGUCUGGAAAGUCCGACGGUACAGGGUGAUAGUCCCGUACACCAAAAUGCACAGGUUGUGAACUCGAAGAGUAGGGCGGGACACGUGGUAUCCUGUCUGAAUAUGGGGGGACCAUCCUCCAAGGCUAAAUACUCCUGACUGACCGAUAGUGAACCAGUACCGUGAGGGAAAGGCGAAAAGAACCCCGGCGAGGGGAGUGAAAAAGAACCUGAAACCGUGUACGUACAAGCAGUGGGAGCACCUUCGGGUGUGACUGCGUACCUUUUGUAUAAUGGGUCAGCGACUUAUAUUCUGUAGCAAGGUUAACCGUAUAGGGGAGCCGCAGGGAAACCGAGUCUUAACUGGGCGUUAAGUUGCAGGGUAUAGACCCGAAACCCGGUGAUCUAGCCAUGGGCAGGUUGAAGGUUGGGUAACACUAACUGGAGGACCGAACCGACUAAUGUUGAAAAAUUAGCGGAUGACUUGUGGCUGGGGGUGAAAGGCCAAUCAAACCGGGAGAUAGCUGGUUCUCCCCGAAAGCUAUUUAGGUAGCGCCUCGUGAACUCAUCUUCGGGGGUAGAGCACUGUUUCGGCUAGGGGGUCAUCCCGACUUACCAACCCGAUGCAAACUACGAAUACCGAAGAAUGUUAUCACGGGAGACACACGGCGGGUGCUAACGUCCGUCGUGAAGAGGGAAACAACCCAGACCGCCAGCUAAGGUCCCAAAGUCAUGGUUAAGUGGGAAACGAUGUGGGAAGGCACAGACAGCCAGGAUGUUGGCUUAGAAGCAGCCAUCAUUUAAAGAAAGCGUAAUAGCUCACUGGUCGAGUCGGCCUGCGCGGAAGAUGUAACGGGGCUAAACCAUGCACCGAAGCUGCGGCAGCGACACGAUGUGUUGUUGGGUAGGGGAGCGUUCUGUAAGCCUGCGAAGGUGGCCUGUGAGGGUUGCUGGAGGUAUCAGAAGUGCGAAUGCUGACAUAAGUAACGAUAAAGCGGGUGAAAAGCCCGCUCGCCGGAAGACCAAGGGUUCCUGUCCAACGUUAAUCGGGGCAGGGUGAGUCGACCCCUAAGGCGAGGCCGAAAGGCGUAGUCGAUGGGAAACAGGUUAAUAUUCCUGUACUUGGUGUUACUGCGAAGGGGGGACGGAGAAGGCUAUGUUAGCCGGGCGACGGUUGUCCCGGUUUAAGCAUGUAGGCUGGUUAUCCAGGCAAAUCCGGAUAAUCAAGGCUGAGGUGUGAUGACGAGGCACUACGGUGCUGAAGUAACAAAUGCCCUGCUUCCAGGAAAAGCCUCUAAGCAUCAGGUAACAUCAAAUCGUACCCCAAACCGACACAGGUGGUCAGGUAGAGAAUACCAAGGCGCUUGAGAGAACUCGGGUGAAGGAACUAGGCAAAAUGGUGCCGUAACUUCGGGAGAAGGCACGCUGGUGUGUAGGUGAAGUCCCUGCGGAUGGAGCUGAGACCAGUCGAAGAUACCAGCUGGCUGCAACUGUUUAUUAAAAACACAGCACUGUGCAAACACGAAAGUGGACGUAUACGGUGUGACGCCUGCCCGGUGCCGGAAGGUUAAUUGAUGGGGUUAUCCGUAAGGAGAAGCUCUUGAUCGAAGCCCCGGUAAACGGCGGCCGUAACUAUAACGGUCCUAAGGUAGCGAAAUUCCUUGUCGGGUAAGUUCCGACCUGCACGAAUGGCGUAAUGAUGGCCAGGCUGUCUCCACCCGAGACUCAGUGAAAUUGAACUCGCUGUGAAGAUGCAGUGUACCCGCGGCAAGACGGAAAGACCCCGUGAACCUUUACUAUAGCUUGACACUGAACAUUGAGCCUUGAUGUGUAGGAUAGGUGGGAGGCUUUGAAGCGUGGACGCCAGUCUGCGUGGAGCCAACCUUGAAAUACCACCCUUUAAUGUUUGAUGUUCUAACGUGGGCCCCUGACCGGGGUUGCGGACAGUGUCUGGUGGGUAGUUUGACUGGGGCGGUCUCCUCCCAAAGCGUAACGGAGGAGCACGAAGGUUAGCUAAUCCUGGUCGGACAUCAGGAGGUUAGUGCAAUGGCAUAAGCUAGCUUGACUGCGAGCGUGACGGCGCGAGCAGGUGCGAAAGCAGGUCAUAGUGAUCCGGUGGUUCUGAAUGGAAGGGCCAUCGCUCAACGGAUAAAAGGUACUCCGGGGAUAACAGGCUGAUACCGCCCAAGAGUUCAUAUCGACGGCGGUGUUUGGCACCUCGAUGUCGGCUCAUCACAUCCUGGGGCUGAAGUAGGUCCCAAGGGUAUGGCUGUUCGCCAUUUAAAGUGGUACGCGAGCUGGGUUUAGAACGUCGUGAGACAGUUCGGUCCCUAUCUGCCGUGGGCGCUGGAGAAUUGAGGGGGGCUGCUCCUAGUACGAGAGGACCGGAGUGGACGCAUCACUGGUGUUCGGGUUGUCAUGCCAAUGGCACUGCCCGGUAGCUAAAUGCGGAAGAGAUAAGUGCUGAAAGCAUCUAAGCACGAAACUUGCCCCGAGAUGAGUUCUCCCUGAGACUAUAAGUCUCCUGAAGGAACGUUGAAGACGACGACGUUGAUAGGCCGGGUGUGUAAGCGCAGCGAUGCGUUGAGCUAACCGGUACUAAUGAACCGUGAGGCUUAACCUU
This 2902-nucleotide ribosomal RNA is filed under the name Klebsiella quasipneumoniae. RNAcentral's name for it is "23S ribosomal RNA". It matches the Rfam family "Bacterial large subunit ribosomal RNA". Lineage: Bacteria; Pseudomonadati; Pseudomonadota; Gammaproteobacteria; Enterobacterales; Enterobacteriaceae. The record is from RNAcentral.